Vidua chalybeata is the source of this 2385-nucleotide long non-coding RNA. RefSeq lists it as uncharacterized. Lineage: Eukaryota; Metazoa; Chordata; Aves; Passeriformes; Viduidae. The transcript has 4 exons. The record is from RefSeq and is a predicted model, not a curated record.
CCCCACAUCGCUGUGCCCCCGGCGGGAAAGGGAGGCACAGCGGGCUCUUAUCAGUGGGAUUUUGGGGAGCAGGAGCAGACACUUCGUUUCCAAAUCGUCUCAAAAUAUGUGUGAUAUUGCAAGACAGGGCAACGGAGUUCACAGGGACUGGGUUCGUGCCUGGGAAGGAUUUCCUUGGCCACAGCUGCACCACAGAAAGCCAAAGCCGAACAUCUCCCCAAGCACCCGACACUUCUGCUGCCAAGCUCCAGUUGCUAUGGGAAGGAGAGAAUUCUGCUCGUGCACCAAAACAAAACAAGUCACCUUCAGCUUGGAAGAUUUUACAAAACACACGGCUUCCUCUGGCAGGGCCCUGGGAGCACCCAGCAGCACAGCACAAAGUCCCCUGCAGCCCCCCUGUCCCUGGAAGGCUCUGGAAUGAUCCUUCCCCUUUGUUCUUCUACGGGUGGAACUCCUCACCCACCACCAAGCACAGAUUCUGCUGAUGAUCUGCCAAAGAAAGCCAAGGUCUGGAAAGGUUCCCUGCUGACCCCAGCCUUCAGGAUUCAAGAAUCCACGCAGCUUCAGCUGAAGGGCAGGACAGAGGAAAAAGCACUUGAAUGUCACUGAGGAGAGGGACGGGAAAUGACGAGUUCAGAGCUUCAGGAAUUUCAGUUUUAAGAUCUGUGUCUAUAUUGGAUGUAUGAUGUAACACACACACACACAUAUAUAUAUAUAUAUAUAUAUAUAUAUUGCAAAAUCUUCUAUUUGAUGCCUCAGCACUCAGGGCUUUGCUCAUCCAACGCUGCUUUCAGCACAAGAGCAUUUUGUGCAAAAAAAAUGUGGUUUGUGUUUUAAUUUUCCACGGAGUGCAGAUGUGAGGCUGCAAAAGGAAUAAACCCAAAGGGGCCAGAGCGGCUCCCCCUGCCCACUUCCCAGUGCCCUCCCCUCCCACUCCCUUUCUCCAAAAAGAUUUGAUUUCUGUCUGUUCCGUUUUGUUCUUAUGAGAACAAAAGAAUUAAAAAUGACUCCAAGAAUCAGCCCAUUAUCUCAGGCAAUAAUUCGAUUAAAGUUGCCAUCACCAGGCCAGGCACCCCAAGGAUCUGCAGUGCACACAGGAAUUUUGGGUCAUUCCUGCUGCAGCAAGGAACAUUUAUUUUUUUCCCUUUUCCACAUGAAUGCCUGAAACUCCCUUGGGGAAUGUUCGACCCUGUCAAAACAAAGGCACGGAGAUUUUUAAGAAACAGUUGUGUGAACAAGUAGGACAAAAUCCAUGAAGAGUGAGCAGGAGAGAGGGAAAUUCUGUUUGAGCUCCAGAAUGGAGCCAGAAAAGCCCUGGAUUCAGGAAUCCGUGUGGACACGGAUGCACACCCCUAUUUACCUGUGUGCCAGAAUUCCCACUCUGCCUCCUGCCCUUCCCACUGCUCUCACUUCUCUGGGAUUUCCUGGACGUGCUGAUUCCCCCCCUCCGGAACAGCAGGAAUGAAUAAACACCCCCCAAAAUGACCCAAAAUGACCCAAAACGACCCAGAACAACCCAAACCAGCAGCACAGCAUCACCAGGACACUGCAAAGUGAUUUUUUGGGCUGAAAUAAGAGCUAAAAGCAGAGAGACUUCCCCCAAGCUCCUGGCAGAGCCCGGGAACGUUUCCCUGCCACCACCAAAGCUCCGUGAGGCGGCAGAAAAAGCUGCUCCGUGAAUUUUCCAGCGGCUGUGGCUGAAAUGAGAACCCUGCCCGUUAUAGAACGCAGAAAUCUGGUAGUUAAAUUCCUCUUGCCUUGUGCUGCUUUGCCUCUAUAACUUUGAAAGCCCUGAAAGAACAUAAAGUUAAAUUUUUAAUGGCAUUUCAGCAGAACCUCUUUGAAUUUUGUAUUAGAUCUCAAUUUAGCCUCCAGUAAAGCCUUUAGGAAAAAAAAAAAAAUCCGAUGCUUAAAAAUGUAAUAAUCAUACAGGAACCUUCCAAAGCCAAUAUCAAAUAGAAUGAAAUAUAUUUUAUUAAUGAUACAAUUCAUAAAAUUACCAGCCCUGCCACUCUGUGCCUGCAGGAGAGACUUCCUGGGCUGGGUUUGAUUGCACAUCCAGGAGCUGCUGGGUUUGCUCUGAGUGGUUCCACCCUGACUGCUCCGUGGCCUCCGAGGGGAAUUGGCCAUUUCAGGGAUGUUUUGUCAGGAAAUUCCACCUAUAAGAGUAAUAAAAAAAAUAAAACUAUUUUAGGAGUGCUUGAUUCUGUAGGGAAGGGUGUGGAGCCAUCGAAAACUUCACUGUAAACCCCUGAAUUCCCAAUAAAACCCUGGGAAUUCACUCCUUGCUUGGGGAAAUGACUGAGCAGAACCCUGAAUUCCCAAUAAAACUGGGAAUUCACUCCUUGCUUGGGGAAAUGACUGAGCAGAACCCUGAAUUCCCAA